RNAcentral lists this non-coding RNA (18 nucleotides) under Arabidopsis thaliana (thale cress). The record is from RNAcentral. Lineage: Eukaryota; Viridiplantae; Streptophyta; Magnoliopsida; Brassicales; Brassicaceae.
GGGCCUUAUAAUGGGCAU